CCCCAAACUCACAGGGCGCGUGCCCGGGACAUUUAAAGGGACCAGUCCCCGCGCCGGUGCUGCCAGGCAGCCGCCUCCCCGCAGGGGUCGUUGGUGUCGGUGCCAGAGGAGGAAAACGGACAUUCAAAGAGGCGAAGAAACGCGUCCAAGAGGUUUUGACCCUAUUGCUCGGUGCCGUUUCUCCUUUAUCACCAUGGAAAUGUUCACUGAGGUUAUUAGCUGGUUGUGGAAGGCUUUUGAGGAGGUACCUGAUUAAAGGGAAGAAAACUUUUUCACUAAUAACACACUGGCCUCAUCUAACUCCCUGCAUCUUUAAUUAAUGUUUACAAACACUUUAAUCUACCCCACUUACUACUUAAUUAGGCAAGUAUUAUUACCCCCUCUUUCUGAACCAAAUCCAGAAGAGACUUAAGUCCUUAAUCCUCCUUAAAUAAUGCACCUAAGCUUUCUGUCCAUGUUCUUUUUAUUUCCUCUUUUGUACCAUAUUGUUAAACGUUAAUGUAUUUAUCAUUUAUUGGCUUAGUAAAAAAGAUAUUAAAUAGCCACGGGUGGGAGGUAAUAUAGGCAACCUCUAUCUUUCAUAAAUUCAGAUUUUAAACAGACAUUAUGAUAAGUG
Molecule: long non-coding RNA, 616 nt
Filed under: Capra hircus (goat)
Lineage: Eukaryota; Metazoa; Chordata; Mammalia; Artiodactyla; Bovidae
Description: lncRNA (ENSCHIG00010017973.1)
Source: RNAcentral